GUACUCACUUUGACAGCACAUAUACUAAAAUUGAAAAAAAAACAGAGAUUAGCAUGGUCCAUGUGCAAGAAUGACUUACAAAUUCAUGAAGCAUUCUAUAUUUUU
Small nuclear RNA from Suncus etruscus (white-toothed pygmy shrew), 105 nucleotides. Lineage: Eukaryota; Metazoa; Chordata; Mammalia; Eulipotyphla; Soricidae. The record is from RefSeq and is a predicted model, not a curated record.